This 679-nucleotide ribosomal RNA is filed under the name bacterium S940. RNAcentral describes it as "bacterial SSU rRNA". It matches the Rfam family "Bacterial small subunit ribosomal RNA", at positions 25 to 750 of the family's 1533-position model. The record is from RNAcentral.
CAGAACGAACGCUGGCGGCAGGCCUAACACAUGCAAGUCGAACGGAUCCUUCGGGAUUAGUGGCAGACGGGUGAGUAACGCGUGGGAAGCUACCUUGUGGUAGGGAACAACAGUUGGAAACGACUGCUAAUACCCUAUGAGCCCUAUGGGGGAAAGAUUUAUCGCCAUGAGAUGUGCCCGCGUUAGAUUAGCUAGUUGGUAAGGUAAUGGCUUACCAAGGCGACGAUCUAUAGCUGGUCUGAGAGGAUGAUCAGCCACACUGGGACUGAGACACGGCCCAGACUCCUACGGGAGGCAGCAGUGGGGAAUAUUGGACAAUGGGGGCAACCCUGAUCCAGCCAUGCCGCGUGAGUGAUGACGGCCUUAGGGUUGUAAAGCUCUUUCAGCAGUGAAGAUAAUGACAUUAACUGCAGAAGAAGCCCCGGCUAACUUCGUGCCAGCAGCCGCGGUAAUACGAAGGGGGCUAGCGUUGUUCGGAAUCACUGGGCGUAAAGCGUACGUAGGCGGACUGAUCAGUCAGGGGUGAAAUCCCGGGGCUCAACCCCGGAACUGCCUUUGAUACUGUCAGUCUUGAGAUCGAGAGAGGUGAGUGGAACUCCGAGUGUAGAGGUGAAAUUCGUAGAUAUUCGGAAGAACACCAGUGGCGAAGGCGGCUCACUGGCUCGAUACUGACGCUGAG